GUCCGCCAGUCGUUGAACACCCGGCGACAAACA
RNAcentral lists this non-coding RNA (33 nucleotides) under Syntrophotalea carbinolica DSM 2380. The record is from RNAcentral. Lineage: Bacteria; Pseudomonadati; Thermodesulfobacteriota; Desulfuromonadia; Desulfuromonadales; Syntrophotaleaceae.